UCGAGAAUCUUCGGCAAUGGGCGCAAGCCUGACCGAGCGACGCCGCGUGCGGGAUGAAGGCCUUCGGGUUGUAAACCGCUGUCGUAGGGGAGGAAGAUCCUGUGAAGAACAGGGUUUGACCGAUCCUAGGAGGAAGGGCCGGCUAAUCUCGUGCCAGCAGCCGCGGUAAUACGAGAGGCCCAAACGUUAUUCGGAAUUACUGGGCUUAAAGAGUUCGUAGGCGGCAUGACAAGUAGGGUGUGAAAGCCCUCGGCUCAACCGAGGAAUUGCGCUCUAAACUGUCGUGCUUGAGGAACCUAGAGGUGAGCAGAACAGAUGGUGGAGCGGUGAAAUGCGUUGAUAUCAUCUGGAAUACCGGAGGCGAAGGCGGCUCACUGGGAGUUUUCUGACGCUGAGGAACGAAAGCCAGGGUAGCGAACGG
RNAcentral lists this ribosomal RNA (421 nucleotides) under uncultured bacterium. RNAcentral's name for it is "bacterial SSU rRNA". It matches the Rfam family "Bacterial small subunit ribosomal RNA", at positions 355 to 775 of the family's 1533-position model. The record is from RNAcentral.